RNAcentral lists this transfer RNA (107 nucleotides) under Candidatus Saccharimonadota bacterium. RNAcentral describes it as "tRNA-OTHER". It matches the Rfam family "tRNA". From Rfam's summary of the family: Transfer RNA (tRNA) molecules are approximately 80 nucleotides in length. Their secondary structure includes four short double-helical elements and three loops (D, anti-codon, and T loops). The record is from RNAcentral. Lineage: Bacteria; Candidatus Saccharimonadota.
GUGCCUAUAGCUCAGUCAGGAAGAGCGGCAUCUGGUCAGGACACACGACUUUUCCAGUCAACGAAAGAUCAGAUUUGCGGCCGCAGGUUCGAAUCCUGCUAGGCACG